UGGCAGGUAGCUCAGUUGGUAGAGCUACUAAAACAUCCUGAUUCAACACUUGUCUGAAAAGUCCGACGAAUUAGGGUUAUCGCCUCUUAAGCGGGAUGCCGCAGGUACCCUCCGGGAAGCCGCUCCGCGUCUACGAUUCCUGCCCUGCCAC
RNAcentral lists this transfer RNA (151 nucleotides) under Calothrix sp. PCC 7507. RNAcentral describes it as "tRNA-Lys (CTT) (tRNA-Lys-CTT-3-1)". Lineage: Bacteria; Bacillati; Cyanobacteriota; Cyanophyceae; Nostocales; Calotrichaceae. The record is from RNAcentral.